AGCGGUAUAAUGUAAUGGCAACAUAUUGGUCUCAUGAUCCAAGUAUUGGGGUUCGAAUCCCUGUAUCGCGU
Molecule: non-coding RNA, 71 nt
Organism: Apiotrichum porosum
Lineage: Eukaryota; Fungi; Basidiomycota; Tremellomycetes; Trichosporonales; Trichosporonaceae
Source: the annotation of a RefSeq genome assembly